UUGAUCCUGGCUCAGAUUGAACGCUGGCGGCAUGCCUUACACAUGCAAGUCGAACGGCAGCACGGGUGCUUGCACCUGGUGGCGAGUGGCGAACGGGUGAGUAAUACAUCGGAACAUGUCCUGUAGUGGGGGAUAGCCCGGCGAAAGCCGGAUUAAUACCGCAUACGAUCUACGGAUGAAAGCGGGGGACUUCGGGCCUCGCGCUAUAGGGUUGGCCGAUGGCUGAUUAGCUAGUUGGUGGGGUAAAGGCCUACCAAGGCGACGAUCAGUAGCUGGUCUGAGAGGACGACCAGCCACACUGGGACUGAGACACGGCCCAGACUCUACGGGAGGCAGCAGUGGGGAAUUUUGGACAAUGGGCGAAAGCCUGAUCCAGCAAUGCCGCGUGUGUGAAGAAGGCCUUCGGGUUGUAAAGCACUUUUGUCCGGAAAGAAAUCCUUGGCUCUAAUACAGUCGGGGGAUGACGGUACCGGAAGAAUAAGCACCGGCUAACUACGUGCCAGCAGCCGCGGUAAUACGUAGGGUGCAAGCGUUAAUCGGAAUUACUGGGCGUAAAGCGUGCGCAGGCGGUUUGCUAAGACCGAUGUGAAAUCCCCGGGCUCAACCUGGGAACUGCAUUGGUGACUGGCAGGCUAGAGUAUGGCAGAGGGGGGUAGAAUUCCACGUGUAGCAGUGAAAUGCGUAGAGAUGUGGAGGAAUACCGAUGGCGAAGGCAGCCCCCUGGGCCAAUACUGACGCUCAUGCACGAAAGCGUGGGGAGCAAACAGGAUUAGAUACCCUGGUAGUCCACGCCCUAAACGAUGUCAACUAGUUGUUGGGGAUUCAUUUCCUUAGUAACGUAGCUAACGCGUGAAGUUGACCGCCUGGGGAGUACGGUCGCAAGAUUAAAACUCAAAGGAAUUGACGGGGACCCGCACAAGCGGUGGAUGAUGUGGAUUAAUUCGAUGCAACGCGAAAAACCUUACCUACCCUUGACAUGGUCGGAAUCCUGCUGAGAGGUGGGAGUGCUCGAAAGAGAACCGGCGCACAGGUGCUGCAUGGCUGUCGUCAGCUCGUGUCGUGAGAUGUUGGGUUAAGUCCCGCAACGAGCGCAACCCUUGUCCUUAGUUGCUACGCAAGAGCACUCUAAGGAGACUGCCGGUGACAAACCGGAGGAAGGUGGGGAUGACGUCAAGUCCUCAUGGCCCUUAUGGGUAGGGCUUCACACGUCAUACAAUGGUCGGAACAGAGGGUUGCCAACCCGCGAGGGGGAGCUAAUCCCAGAAAACCGAUCGUAGUCCGGAUUGCACUCUGCAACUCGAGUGCAUGAAGCUGGAAUCGCUAGUAAUCGCGGAUCAGCAUGCCGCGGUGAAUACGUUCCCGGGUCUUGUACACACCGCCCGUCACACCAUGGGAGUGGGUUUUACCAGAAGUGGCUAGUCUAACCGCAAGGAGGACGGUCACCACGGUAGGAUUCAUGACUGGGGUGAAGUCGUAACAAGGUAG
RNAcentral lists this ribosomal RNA (1485 nucleotides) under Burkholderia cepacia. RNAcentral describes it as "16S ribosomal RNA". It matches the Rfam family "Bacterial small subunit ribosomal RNA". Lineage: Bacteria; Pseudomonadati; Pseudomonadota; Betaproteobacteria; Burkholderiales; Burkholderiaceae. The record is from RNAcentral.